This 253-nucleotide ribosomal RNA is filed under the name uncultured bacterium. RNAcentral describes it as "partial 16S ribosomal RNA". It matches the Rfam family "Bacterial small subunit ribosomal RNA", at positions 524 to 776 of the family's 1533-position model. The record is from RNAcentral.
UACAGAGGUCCCAAGCGUUGUUCGGAUUCAUUGGGCGUAAAGGGUGCGUAGGCGGCGCGGUAAGUCGGGUGUGAAAUCUCGGGGCUUAACUCCGAAACUGCAUUCGAUACUGCCGUGCUUGAGGACUGGAGAGGAGACUGGAAUUUACGGUGUAGCGGUGAAAUGCGUAGAUAUCGUAAGGAAGACCAGUGGCGAAGGCGGGUCUCUGGACAGUUCCUGACGCUGAGGCACGCAGGCCAGGGGAGCAAACGGG